RNAcentral lists this ribosomal RNA (241 nucleotides) under uncultured bacterium. RNAcentral's name for it is "partial 16S ribosomal RNA". It matches the Rfam family "Bacterial small subunit ribosomal RNA", at positions 92 to 334 of the family's 1533-position model. The record is from RNAcentral.
CGACCGGCGCACGGGUGCAUAACGCGUAUGCAACCUACCCAUAACAGGGGGAUAACACUGAGAAAUUGGUACUAAUACCCCAUAACAUCAGGACCGGCAUCGGUUCUGGUUGAAAACUCCGGUGGUUAUGGAUGGGCAUGCGUUGUAUUAGCUGGUUGGUGAGGUAACGGCUCACCAAGGCAACGAUACAUAGGGGGACUGAGAGGUUAACCCCCCACAUUGGUACUGAGACACGGACCAA